AUGAGGGCAGCGUGGAACCCGGCGCAACCAGUGAAAUUCAAGCCGAAGGGGGCCAACCUGUUCGUCGUGCAGGCAUCUUGUCUAGGCGACUGGGAAAUAAUUAUGUACCAAGGACCGUGGUUGUUCAGAUUUUGGGCGGUGCUGCUGCAUCCUUACGAUGGUUUCAGUCGAGUUGAAGACAUGCAGCUGGUUCAUAUGCCGAUAUGGCUACAGAUUCAUAAGCUGCCGGAAGGAUAUUGCAGCAAGGAAAUUGUGGAAAAGCUCAUCCGUAAGGCUGGAGAAAUUAUGGAAUUCAGGCUUGUUGGGAACACCAGAGGUAACUAUGUGCGAAUCAAGGUCAAACAUGAUGUUAGAGAACCCCUUACAAAAUAUGUCAAUAUUAUCAAGGGGAAGGACAGGCAGGUGUUUGUUGUGAGAUACCAGAAACUUGCUCGCUUCUGUAAGUUUUGUGGGAGAAUUGGUCAUGAGUUUAAGGCGUGUGGCUCAGGUGUAUACACUGCAAAGGAUCUGAAAUUUGGUGACUGGUUAUAUGCGGAUCCACCUAAUAUGUACAAGGCUGAGAGUCAUGGGACUGGAAGUACUGCUGCGGCUGCAUCUGCUGCUAAUGGUAGUGAGGAAUUGCAUGAUACUAGGACUACCCCAAUUAAGAAUCUUCAUGUUGUUAACGGGCUGGUUGAUUAG
RNAcentral lists this ribosomal RNA (681 nucleotides) under Triticum aestivum (bread wheat). RNAcentral's name for it is "partial small subunit ribosomal RNA". The record is from RNAcentral. Lineage: Eukaryota; Viridiplantae; Streptophyta; Magnoliopsida; Poales; Poaceae.